Mesocricetus auratus (golden hamster) is the source of this 609-nucleotide long non-coding RNA. RefSeq lists it as uncharacterized. Lineage: Eukaryota; Metazoa; Chordata; Mammalia; Rodentia; Cricetidae. The record is from RefSeq and is a predicted model, not a curated record. The transcript has 4 exons.
UAACAGUGAUCGGUGAAGUUCCCAAAAGGAUGAUGGGGCCCUACAACAAUGAUUCCACCUGCACUGUGGUAACCCACUUAGCUGACAAACAUCACCCAACAAUCGACUUUGUAUUAUAAACUUCUCAGGAUAAUUUCAAGGUGGCUAGCUGAAAUGGUCUAGCCUCAUGCUCUACUCUAGCCAGGACUUCAGUUCUACCCUGGUGCUGAAUGCCUGGAAGAUUCUUGGUGAGUCUCAGGUCUUCAGUCCCUAUUACAUCGAAAGGCCAAGAGUCUGGAUACUGAUGUCACUGACAGAUUGCAUCAUCAUCAUCAUCACCACCACCACCACCACCAGCAACAACAGGGGUUCUAACUAGCUAUGAGACCUCUCUAGCCUCAGUCAGACAACCAGUGCAGAUCUGGGACUUGUCUUCAAGGGGAUCAUGGACUUCUGCUCCCUCCCUGGGUAAACAUAGUUUGGAGAGCCCAGUGUUAUGGCCUGUUACUUAAAGAUCUGUCCUCUUCAUGGAGCUUUGUGUUGAAAAGUAUUCCUUAUAAUCAGGUAUGGUUUAACAACUUAAACAAAACUAUUUAUUUUUAAAUGUGUCUGUGUGGGGGUAUGUGCAUG